GGGACACGUGGUAUCCUGUCUGAAUAUGGGGGGACCAUCCUCCAAGGCUAAAUACUCCUGACUGACCGAUAGUGAACCAGUACCGUGAGGGAAAGGCGAAAAGAACCCCGGCGAGGGGAGUGAAAAAGAACCUGAAACCGUGUACGUACAAGCAGUGGGAGCCUCUUAAUGGGGUGACUGCGUACCUUUUGUAUAAUGGGUCAGCGACUUAUAUUCUGUAGCAAGGUUAACCGAAUAGGGGAGCCGAAGGGAAACCGAGUCUUAACUGGGCGUUAAGUUGCAGGGUAUAGACCCGAAACCCGGUGAUCUAGCCAUGGGCAGGUUGAAGGUUGGGUAACACUAACUGGAGGACCGAACCGACUAAUGUUGAAAAAUUAGCGGAUGACUUGUGGCUGGGGGUGAAAGGCCAAUCAAACCGGGAGAUAGCUGGUUCUCCCCGAAAGCUAUUUAGGUAGCGCCUCGUGAAUUCAUCUCCGGGGGUAGAGCACUGUUUCGGCAAGGGGGUCAUCCCGACUUACCAACCCGAUGCAAACUGCGAAUACCGGAGAAUGUUAUCACGGGAGACACACGGCGGGUGCUAACGUCCGUCGUGAAGAGGGAAACAACCCAGACCGCCAGCUAAGGUCCCAAAGUCAUGGUUAAGUGGGAAACGAUGUGGGAAGGCCCAGACAGCCAGGAUGUUGGCUUAGAAGCAGCCAUCAUUUAAAGAAAGCGUAAUAGCUCACUGGUCGAGUCGGCCUGCGCGGAAGAUGUAACGGGGCUAAACCAUGCACCGAAGCUGCGGCAGCGACACUAUGUGUUGUUGGGUAGGGGAGCGUUCUGUAAGCCUGUGAAGGUGUACUGUGAGGUAUGCUGGAGGUAUCAGAAGUGCGAAUGCUGACAUAAGUAACGAUAAAGCGGGUGAAAAGCCCGCUCGCCGGAAGACCAAGGGUUCCUGUCCAACGUUAAUCGGGGCAGGGUGAGUCG
Molecule: ribosomal RNA, 966 nt
Filed under: Escherichia coli
Lineage: Bacteria; Pseudomonadati; Pseudomonadota; Gammaproteobacteria; Enterobacterales; Enterobacteriaceae
Description: partial 23S ribosomal RNA
Rfam family: Bacterial large subunit ribosomal RNA
Source: RNAcentral